AGUGAACGCUGGCGGUAGGCCUAACACAUGCAAGUCGAACGGCAGCACAGGAGAGCUUGCUCUCUGGGUGGCGAGUGGCGGACGGGUGAGGAAUACAUCGGAAUCUACUCUGUCGUGGGGGAUAACGUAGGGAAACUUACGCUAAUACCGCAUACGACCUACGGGUGAAAGCAGGGGACCUUCGGGCCUUGCGCGAUUGAAUGAGCCGAUGUCGGAUUAGCUAGUUGGCGGGGUAAAGGCCCACCAAGGCGACGAUCCGUAGCUGGUCUGAGAGGAUGAUCGGCCAAACUGGAACUGAGACACGGUCCAGACUCCUACGGGAGGCAGCAGUGGGGAAUAUUGGACAAUGGGCGCAAGCCUGAUCCAGCCAUACCGCGUGGGUGAUGAAGGCCUUCGGGUUGUAAAGCCCUUUUGUUGGGAAAGAAAUCCAGCUGGCUAAUACCCGGUUGGGAUGACGGUACCCAAAGAAUAAGCACCGGCUAACUUCGUGCCAGCCGCCGCCGUAA
RNAcentral lists this ribosomal RNA (506 nucleotides) under uncultured bacterium. Its description in RNAcentral is "partial 16S ribosomal RNA". It matches the Rfam family "Bacterial small subunit ribosomal RNA", at positions 29 to 523 of the family's 1533-position model. The record is from RNAcentral.